CAGCAGCCGCGGGAAUACGUAGGUGGCAAGCGUUGUCCGGAAUUAUUGGGCGUAAAGGGCUCGCAGGCGGUUUCUUAAGUCUGAUGUGAGAGCCCCCGGCUCAACCGGGGAGGGUCAUUGGAAACUGGGAAACUUGAGUGCAGAAGAGGAGAGUGGAAUUCCACGUGUAGCGGUGAAAUGCGUAGAGAUGUGGAGGAACACCAGUGGCGAAGGCGACUCUCUGGUCUGUAACUGACGCUGAGGAGCGAAAGCGUGGGGAGCGAACAGGAUUAGAUACCCCGGUAGUCCCUGUCUCUUAUAC
Molecule: ribosomal RNA, 301 nt
Filed under: uncultured bacterium
Lineage: Bacteria
Description: partial 16S ribosomal RNA
Rfam family: Bacterial small subunit ribosomal RNA
Source: RNAcentral